Solanum pennellii is the source of this 511-nucleotide long non-coding RNA. RefSeq lists it as uncharacterized. Lineage: Eukaryota; Viridiplantae; Streptophyta; Magnoliopsida; Solanales; Solanaceae. The transcript is spliced from 4 exons. The record is from RefSeq and is a predicted model, not a curated record.
UACCCAGAAUUAUCUCCUUCAAUUAAUUGCACAAAAUUUCUCUCACAUUAUCUUCAUUAUAGAAGUUACUCACUCACUAUCUUCGUUUCUUCAGGUGCUAACAACCUUGGUAUUCCAAAGGCAACUAGAGCCCCAUAAGAUAUGCUUACAACAACAAAUUGAGCGCAAGGUAUUCGAGAUUGACUAUGCAAAGGCUUUUAAGUCAACUUUGAUAUCGGUAACUUCAUACGUACGGGGACUCUUCAUGAUUGACAAAGCUCCAUGAUAUUACUGCCAGGGAUUGGACUAGAACAACAGUCACAUGUGUUGCACUAAUAAAAAGCUUGGUGGCUUCUUCGGAAGGAGGAGUUCAAUUCAGUCCCUGCUCUGAGGAAGGCAAUUAUAUUAGAUUACGGUCCUAUUCUGUCUGUAGCUUACUGGUGUACAAUUAUUACUAAUCGUUUUGCUCUUGCUGAUCAUUUUUGCUCUGAAAAUAGCCAAAUUUUCUAAUUUUCUAUGCCCUUUUUUUGUA